GAUGAACGCUGGCGGCGUGCCUAAUACAUGCAAGUCGAGCGAACGGACGAGAAGUUUGCUUCUCUGAUGUUAGCGGCGCACGGGUGAGUAACACGUGGAUAACCUACCUAUACGACUGGUAUAACUUCGGGACACCGGCUCUAAUACCGUAUCAUAUUUUGAACCGCAUGGUUCAAAAGUGAAAGACGGUCUUGCUGUCACUUAUAGAUGGAUCCGCGCUGAAUUAGCUAGUUGGUAAGGUAACGGCUUACCAAGGCAACGAUGCAUAGCCGACCUGAGAGGUGGUCCGCCACCAUGGGAACGGGGCAAGGGUCCGGCUUCUUCGGGAGGGAGCCGGAGGGAAUCCUCCGGAAUGGGCGGAAAGCUGGACGGGGAACGGCCGCGGGAGGAAGAAGGUUUUUGGGUCGGAAAAACUUGUUGUUAAGGAAGAAAGAUAGUGAGAAGGGAAUGUGCACACCUUGACGGUACCUUACCAGAAAGCGACGGCUAACUACGUG
Molecule: ribosomal RNA, 497 nt
Filed under: uncultured bacterium
Lineage: Bacteria
Description: partial 16S ribosomal RNA
Rfam family: Bacterial small subunit ribosomal RNA
Source: RNAcentral